This 354-nucleotide long non-coding RNA is filed under the name Equus caballus (horse). Its description in RNAcentral is "lncRNA (ENSECAG00000047856.1)". The record is from RNAcentral. Lineage: Eukaryota; Metazoa; Chordata; Mammalia; Perissodactyla; Equidae.
CUUUGUUCCAAAAGUCUUCACUCGCAAAACAAAUUCAAAGAUUACAUAAUUAAGAGUUUCAAGAUGGCGACUGCAGAGCAGGAAGCCCCAAGGGUGAGGCCCUGUGUGAGGGCACUGGUUGCAUGCCCACGAAGCUGGCCCUACCUGCCACCCAGAGGACGUCAAGGAGCCAAAAGAGCUAAAUAUUUCUACCCCAGAGCUUCUGGACAGACAGGUCACUGUGAUUUCAUUGUUCUUGAAAUAAGAACCGAACCAGAAAACUUGUUGCUCACUGGAAGAAGGGAAGCUCGCAGAAACAGCUCUGUCUUCACAGUCUUCACAAGCCACUGAUCUGAGAAGAAGAAAAUUGGCUAA